ACCACAGUGCCUGCAACCUUCUUUAACCAAGUCACCAUAAGCUUUUGAUAGGGCUUUUGUCUUUCCCUUUCUCAUACAUUUUUCUGUCCUAGAGAAAGUGGGAGAUUUAAAAAUUAUGUAUUCUGUCUUUGCUUGGGUACUGUGAAGUCAGGUAUAUUUGUAGAGUUGGGUUAGCGAGGUAGUGACAAUUUCCUUUUAAAGAUGUAUAUCUUCUUUCUCCCCAAUUCUUUCCAAAGAAAUUACUGAUGCUGAGGAAGAUCCUGAGGAUAAAGCAACAAACGCAGUCUGGAACCAGUGACAUUAAAGACCUGAACCCUGCACCUCAUCUUGGGACAAUUCUAAGGGCUACCUGAGUUCCACAUAUUAUCAAGGACUCAGCUGAAUCUUUUGAUGGAAAACUUGAGACCAGCGUCAGAGCUAGACAAGGGCCAUGGAGGGCCAAGGUCAUGGCAGAGCCUCAAUUGUCUCCACAGGGAGCGGUUAUGGACAACCUAAGAGUCUUGCUCUGUUGCCUAGGCUGAAGUGAAGUAGUGUGAUCUCGGCUCGCCACAACCUCUGCCUCCCAGGUUCAAGCGAUUCUCCUGCCUCAGCCUCCCGAGUAGCUGGAACUAUAGGUCAUCUAGGGGAAAACAGAAGUAUGAGGAUUGAGACUUCUUCUGAAAAUCAGUGAGUGGCUCUCUGCAGUGGUUACAGAAAUGCCCCAGCAUGGACUCCCUCCUGUAAACUGGCUCUGCUGUCCCAGCAGUGACGGAAAGCACUCAAUUUGUUUUCUCUUGGAAGAGACAGAGUGGCUGUCAGUUUACUGCAAUAUUUUGGACUGCCUGGAAAAUUCAAUGUACAACAGGAGAAAGGAGAGGCAGGAGACAGACUCUGGAAUAGAAGUCAAAGACAAAGAGGCUCGUAAACAUCAAGAUUCUGGGGCUAAUCUAGCCAUUCACAGCUUUAGAACCAUGGACAGUAAAACUUAAAAUAUAUACUAUGUUCUAACCACCACAAGGUUAUUCACUCUAGCAACUAAAAAAGCACUGGCCUCAGGAUUUGCAACAUUAAAAGUCACAGCUCAUCCACCAUCAGAUGCUAACUGACCCUGCUGUUCCACAAGCCAUAACUACAGCUUUGAUUGGACAAGAGUCUGGUUUCAGUAACUUUCUCCUGAUUAAGAAGACCACUGACCAUUGACUGGUUUUGCCAGUUUACAGAGAUUACACACUUACCUACCUUUGUAUGUAAAAUGAUCUUUUGAUAUAUAAAGCAUAACUGUAGCACAUUUAAAUGUUAAGUAGCCACCCCAAAGUGAACAUGGGUCAUAUGUUACGUGCAUGUUUGUUCAAUAGGCAUGUGUCAGGACCACCUUCAUGAAUAUUCAUAGCUCCUCCUGUAACCAGUUAAAUAUAUAUGUUUAGCCAACCUCUUCAGCAUAAAGCUCCCACCCCAAGCCCUCCUUUGAAGGGCCUGUCUCUAGUUUUGCCUGGAUGGCCACCUUGCAGGCUGUAACCCUUUGGAAGAAAUAAAGUCUCCUCUCUCCUUUUCAAAACUUAAAAA
This 1542-nucleotide long non-coding RNA is filed under the name Homo sapiens (human). Its description in RNAcentral is "uncharacterized LOC105375878, transcript variant 1 (LOC105375878)". The record is from RNAcentral. Lineage: Eukaryota; Metazoa; Chordata; Mammalia; Primates; Hominidae.